Molecule: ribosomal RNA, 286 nt
Filed under: uncultured bacterium
Lineage: Bacteria
Description: partial 16S ribosomal RNA
Rfam family: Bacterial small subunit ribosomal RNA
Source: RNAcentral
ACUCCCUACGGGGCGCAGCAGUGGGGAAUAUUGGGCAAUGGGCGCAAGCCUGACCCAGCAACGCCGCGUGAAGGAAGAAGGCUUUCGGGUUGUAAACUUCUUUUAUCAGGGACGAAGCAAGUGACGGUACCUGAUGAAUAAGCCACGGCUAACUACGUGCCAGCAGCCGCGGUAAUACGUAGGUGGCAAGCGUUAUCCGGAUUUACUGGGUGUAAAGGGCGUGUAGGCGGGAGUGCAAGUCAGAUGUGAAAACUAUGGGCUCAACCCAUAGCCUGCCUUUGAAACU